UAUAGUGUGGGGUAAUUUGCAUUUUAUUUUUUGGUAAUAAGGGAGAUUUGUUUCUACUAUAA
RNAcentral lists this transfer RNA (62 nucleotides) under Lepidotrema longipenis. RNAcentral describes it as "tRNA-Gln". The record is from RNAcentral. Lineage: Eukaryota; Metazoa; Platyhelminthes; Monogenea; Dactylogyridea; Diplectanidae.